AGAGUUUGAUCCUGGCUCAGGACAAACGCUGGCGGCGUGCCUAACACAUGCAAGUCGAGCGGGGAUUGUGGAAGUGCUUGCACAGAAACAAUUCUAGCGGCGGACGGGUGAGUAACGCGUGAGCAAGCUGUCCUUCACAGGGGGAUAACACUUGGAAACAGGUGCUAAUACCGCAUAAGACCACGCUGCUGCAUGGCAGAGGGGUCAAAGGAGAAAUCCGGUGAAGGGUGCGCUCGCGUCCCAUUAGAUAGUUGGCGGGGUAACGGCCCACCAAGUCGACGAUGGGUAGCCGACCUGAGAGGGUGAUCGGCCACACUGGGACUGAGACACGGCCCAGACUCCUACGGGAGGCAGCAGUGGGGAAUAUUGGGCAAUGGGCGAAAGCCUUACCCAGCAACGCCGCGUGAGGGAAGAAGGUUUUCGGAUUGUAAACCUCUGUCCUGGGGGACGAAGGAAGUGACGGUACCCCGGGAGGAAGCCCCGGCUAACUACGUGCCAGCAGCCGCGGU
RNAcentral lists this ribosomal RNA (509 nucleotides) under uncultured human intestinal bacterium. Its description in RNAcentral is "bacterial SSU rRNA". It matches the Rfam family "Bacterial small subunit ribosomal RNA", at positions 8 to 521 of the family's 1533-position model. The record is from RNAcentral.